Long non-coding RNA from Brassica napus (rape), 2830 nucleotides. RefSeq lists it as uncharacterized. Lineage: Eukaryota; Viridiplantae; Streptophyta; Magnoliopsida; Brassicales; Brassicaceae. The record is from RefSeq and is a predicted model, not a curated record. The transcript has 6 exons.
UGAUUAAAAAUGAUCUAAUGGACCAAAAUGCUUCUACUUCUAGCUUUCUCUACGCUCUUCUCUCUUUACGAAAAUAAAAUCUAGAAACAGAUCGUCUCUGUCGAUGGCGAAGCCUCCACGUCUCCGCAUCUCCUCGUCUCCGUCACACCUCGUUCUCUCUCUAGUCUAUUGUUGCAAGGCGGAGCAGCGUCGAAGGCGGCGGCGGCUCAGAUCCCGAGCUUCUUUAUAUGGCGUCCAUUGCUUCUAAGUUGUAUAGAUGAUGUUAGUCUUCUAGUGUUGUUGCUUGGUACGAAUCCCUUAUCUAGGACACUACAUCAACUAUGUUCUCUCAGUUCCUCUCUCAUAUAAUGACUGAGAACCAGAAGAAUACCACAGUGACCGAUCAGAACACUAUUUCUCUGUCUCUGUCUGAUGAAUCUAAAAGUACUGCUCUCAGUGAUUCAGUUGAUAACUCACCCCAGCUCAUCUCAAUGGUCUUAGCCAAGCGGGAUCCGAUGGUAUCAAGGCUGAGUCUUUUCUGCUGAGAGACAGAAUAUGUUGGAAGACAUGGUUGGCUAGGACAUGUUUUGUAUUAAAACAGAUAUAACUAUGCACGCAGGCUGCCGAGGUGGACUUGGGACAAGUAGGUGUCUGAGAAGAUGUUGGGAGUGGUCGCGUGGACUGGUAGUGGGUUCAAACAAUAACAAGAAGAAAGAAGGAUCCAGAAUUAAUCAAGAACAUCUUUUGUUCGUCUUUAAGUUUCAUUUUUGAAUUAGGGAGAUUGAUGCUUUUGAUUCUUGAAGAGAUGGUUAUGAUAAUGUAUGGGAAUGUUAUAUGAUAAAAAAAAAAUCUAAUACUAAUAAAAAAAUUAGAAAAAAAUAAAAAUAAUAUUUUUACUUCGAAUUCUAAACUCUAAACAUGCCUCAUCCAACACUUAUAAAAAUUUCAAAAUGAACAUUGGUAGAAUUAAUAACUAGAGCAAAAGUAAAGUAUAUUACUCUAAUCUCUAUGACGAUAUAUAGAGCAAAUGAAAUCUUCAUCGAAAUCUAAAAAUCACAAAUGUAAAAUUGAAAAGGGAAAUCUCUUCUUUUUUUGUGAGCACCGAAUUUUUUAAUUGAAAACUUAGAAUAUAAAACAUAAUCUAAAAACUAAAAAAAAGAAGUAAAAAUUAUUUAUUGGUUCAACCGGUGGUUCAACCUGUAUCGGGUUCCGGGUUUUAGUGGAUUUUUGCGGGUUUUUAAAUAUUGGGUUUUCCACACCGGAUUUUUUCUGGGUCACCGGGUUUACCAGUUCAACUGCGGAUCCGGGUCGAGUUUCAAAACACUGGUUUCAACCCUAACCCCUAAACAUAAAUUUUAAAACUUCAAAUUUUUUUCACAAUAUAACUUUAAUCUUAAAUUUAAAUUCAAAAUUUAAUCAUUUUAAAAAUACAAUCUAAACUUUAAAUUAUAAACCUCAAACGGUAAAUCAUAAAUUUACAACCUAAAUCUAAUCCAUAAACUCCAAAUUUAAACCUUGCAUACAAAAAUUUAAAACUCUAAUGCUUUAUUAUUUAAUUUAAAAUCUAAUAUUAAAUCUUAAAUCUAUACACAAAACAAUAGAUUCCAAACCCUAAAUUUAAUCUUUUCACAAUUCACUCUCAAAUCUUAAACUUCAAACUUCAAACUUAAACUUUAUACUUCAAAUCAUACCUAAACUCUAAAGCUUAUAUCUAAUCUAAAACUAUAUACUUAAUUUAAAUGUUCAAAACUAUAAUUCUAUACCCCAAACUUUAUUUCGUUAACCAUAAUUCUAAUUCAUAUACUCUAAACACUAAUAACAAAGUUUAAAAUUUUAAAAUUUAAAUUCAAAUCUAAAAUUAAUUAUUUCAAAUUUGAAAUCUAAAUCUUUAAAUUUUGUCUCAAAAUAAUUUAUGUACAUUACAAUUUUACCACUAAUACUUUAGGUAUUGAAACAAAAAUAGAAUAAGAAAGUAGUUACAAAAAUUUGAUUGGUCAAAACACGUACAAGGGUAGAGAUCAGACCUUUUAAACCACAACCGUUGAUUAACGUAAAUCUAAUGGACAAGAUCUUGUCUCUCUAAUCUCUUCUCUUGUGUUUCUUCCCGUCCCUUUCUCUUCUAUUUUGUUUCCACUUUUUUUUUCUUCGUUAAUCAUGCUCCCUAAUCUCACAAAUCUUGUCUCUCUAAUAUCUUUUUUCAUCACCACUAAACCUUUGUUACCACCAGGUCUCGUCAACCUCUCCACCACAUCUCGUCGUCGUUGCGGCCAUAGCUUCGUCACCACCAUAGCUUGUCCAUCGAGGCGAGGAUGAAAAAUCGUUUGACCUCCUCACCACUACGACACAUCUAAGAAGGAACCGGGAAGGAGAAGAAGUGGUGUUACAGAGUGGUGUCUCCGGCUUCGUCUCUCUCUCUCUCUCUCUCUCUCUCUCUGUGUUCUGAUUCCGGUUUUGUUUUUCUGUUCUUAGUAGAAAAGGCGGAGGAGGCUGAAGAAGCUUGAUGGUUGUGGUCUCGGCGUCAACAGUGGUGGUCUUGACUUCGUCAAUGGUAGCUUAGCGCGGUGGUGGAGGCUGAGUAAGCUUACCUGUGGUGUUAUUGGCUGGUGGUGGAGGCUGAAUAAGCUUACCUGUGGUGUUCUUGGCUGGUGGUCUCGGCCUCAAAGAUGAAGAAAACGAAGGAGCUGAAGUUGACGGCGAAGGAGAUAAAGUUACGGCAAAAAGUUUAGAUGUAGGGUUAAUUUUUUUUUUAGGUUAAACUUUUUAGAUUUACAUUUCCAAACCGGGUCUUGUAAACCGGAAUUUAUUUGUAAACCAGAAUUUAUUAUAAUUAGUGGUUUUAAUUUUUAAUUAA